CUUUUUUUACUAAAGAGAACAUAUGGUCGAGCGCCUAUGAGCGAGCCCAGAAUGGCUGAGAUACAAAUCCUAGUAUGGCCGAGCGCCUAUGAGCGAGCGUACUACGGCAGAGCAGUUACACGUACCGAGCCUUAUAGGGCCAGACAGUUAUUUUACUUACUAUAUUGAGAGAGUUUAGUCAGUAUCAUCAGUUAAGCAUAUCUUCAGAUUCUCUUUGACUCCUAGUUACUUUCAUUUAUUAUAUUAUUAAUUCAGCUUCAUCUUUCAGUUAUUCUAUUGUCUUACAUAAUCAGUACAUUAUUUUGUACUGACUUUCCUUUGUCGGGGACAAUGCAUUUCAUGCAUGCAUGUCUUGAUAGAUAGCUGGAUAUACCUCCCCAGUAGACAGAGUCAAACAUCAACUUGGUUGGUAAGCUGCACUUCCUCGGAGUUACCAGGUCUACACCUUGGAGUCCAUUUUAUAGAUACAGGUUUGAGAGGUAGGUCAAGGCCCUAUCCCGUCCAUGAUACAGUUCAGUUAUCUCUAGAGGCAUAUAGACGGGUCUAAGAUAUUUUGUAUAUCAAUAUUGCAGCAUUGCCAGCCCUGUGUACAUGUUCAGUUUGGUAUGGCAGGUUAUAGAUGUUCAUGGCGGCCUCGUCGGCCUACACAGUUAUGUAUAUGAGCUUUUGGGUAUGUUUACCCCUCAGAUAAGAGAGACUUUAUUUUUAGAUGAUUUAGAAUAUGGCCUCGCUAGUCUUGAUUGAUAUUGUCAGCUUGCCGGUAGGCCUCGUUGGCCUAAGUUGAGGGCUACCCCUCAAGAGUUCACAGUUAUACAGUGGUAUGCUCAGGCCUAGUAUGGCACCAGGUGCCGGCUACGCCUCCCCAGGUUUGGGGAUAAUUCGAUAUGGUGCAGUAGAAAUGGGUUGAGUGUCCAGAACCAGAUCAAUGAAGAAGUUGAUAUCUCUGUUGGGUGGCAUCCCCGUCAAAUCUGUAGGAAACACCUUUGGGAGCUCGUGCACAAAUGGUACUGAAUCCAUGGAAGGAAUGCCGCACUAGGAUCACGGAUAUAGACCAAAUAUGCUAAAAACCUCUUCUCGACCAUAUGCUGAGCCUUCACAUAAGAAAUAACCCUCCUAGUAGAAUGGCUAGGAGUCCCCCUCUACUCUAAUCAGCGCAACCACGGCAUGGCUAAGGUCACCGUCUUGGUGUGAUAGUCCAAAAUAUCAUGAGAAGAUGACAGCUAAUUCAUGCCCAAGAUAACAUCAAAGUCCACCAUAUCAAGAAGUAGAAGGUCUACCCUAAUCCCAAAACUCCUGAUAGAAACCACACACAAGCGAUAAACAUGAUAUACCACAAUAGAAUAUCCCACAUGUGUGUACACAUAAACAGGAGCACUUAAGGAAUCCCGAGGCAUAACCAGAUAUGAAGCAAAAUAGGAUGACACUUAUGAAUAAGUAGAGCCUGGAUCAAAUAAAACUGAGGCAUAUCUAUGGCAAAUCGUAACAAUAUAUAUGAUAAUGGCAUCAGAUGACUCUACCUCAGAUCUUGCUGGGAAUGCAUAAAAAUAGGGUUGGGCCCCACCACUCUGACCUUCGCCUCCCAGGCGGCCUCUCUUUGGCUGAGCUCCAUCUCAAAUAGCAUGACCUCCACCUCUAGUAGCUUGACCCCCGCCUCUAGCUUGCUGAGCGGGCGGUGGAGCAACUGGUGCCGGAACCAUGGAACAAGAACUCUAUUAUGGCAUCCUGCCCUGUGACCUAGGGAAAAACCUCGUGACGUGCUUCAGAUCUCCACAAGUAUAACAAAUUCUCGGCUACUGUGACUGCUGACCCUAGAACUGACCCUGUCGACCUGAAUAACCACCGUGAUAGCUCUAGAUCGGAGGUACACUGAUAGGACUUGAAGGUGCACUGUAGGCUAGCUGCUCAAGACGAUACCCAUAAGGACCACGACUGCCUGAAGCACAAUGGGAUGUUUGGAAUGCUGACUGAACUGACUUGGGAGGGUGGCCUCUACCAAAAGAACCUCUGCCUUCAGAUGAGGGACCACUGAAACCACCAAAAUAACGAGGCCUUUUCUCAGAUAUCAGCUUCCCUACCCUGACCACAAAUCAUCUUGGUCCGUCUAGCAUUCUCUACGGCCCUCUGGAAAGAAAUAUCAUCCCCGGUCUCCUUGGCCCUCUGUAGUCUGAUACCAAAAGCAAGACCAUCAAUGAAUCUCCUCCCUCUCUCCCUCUCAGUAGGAAGUAAGACAACUGCAUGGCGAGCUAAAUUCACGAAUCUGGUCUCAUAUUGGGUAACAGUCAUGCCACCCUGCUGAAGGUGCUCAAAAUGCUGGCGGUACUUCUCUCUCAGAGUGUAAGGAAUGAACUUCUCCAAAAAUAGUUACGAAAACUGAUCCCAAGUGAGUUGCGGCAAACCAGUUGGUCUGCUCCGCUCAUAAUCCUGCCACCAUCUCUUGGCAGAAUCGGUCAUCUGAAACACUGCAAAGUCAACUCCAUCGGACUCCACAAUACCCAUGUUGCCCAACACCUUAUGGCAACGGUCAAUGAAAUCCUAUGGGUCCUCAGAAGGUGUGCAACCAAAGCGAAUACGAAAUAAAUUUGUAAACUUGUCCAAUCUCAUCAACCCCUCAAAAGACAUCGUGGACCUCUCCCCGGCCUGUGUAGCAAAAAUAGGGUCAUCCACCCUAACUGGCAGAACUACCGAUUUCUGAUAUCCGUGAGUCAUCUGCUCUGGUGUGUGAGUAGUGGGAGUCUAUGCUCCUCGCCUAGCCUGAGAGACAUCUGGUGCUAUCGAAAAUGCACCGGUAUGGGUCACACUCUCCAUGAGGCCCACUAAGCAGACUAGGGAGUCCUGAAGUACUGAGGUAGCAAUAAAUCCAUCGGGGACCUGAGCUGAUCUAACUGGCAUGGUCUAAACAAGAACCUCCUCCUACUGCUCGAUCUGAGGCUGUGGAAUAGGUGUGACUGCACGUGCUCUAGGCUGAGCUCUACCUGUGCCUCUGACUCUGGCUCGACUUCGGCACCGGCCUUUACCCUGGUAAUGGCAGCAACUACGGGCUCCGGCUCUUAACCCGCCGUGGAUAUUGUGCGUGUCCUCACCAUCUGUGAGAGAACAACAAUGGGAUGAUUCAAACUUCAAUGAUAGAAUAAAAUUGCACGAUAGAGAAAGAAAGAAGUGAAUUUUUCCUAAAGCUCUAUAGCCUCUAGAAGAUAAGUACAGACGUCUCCAUACCGAUCCUCCAAACUCUACUCAGCUUGCUCAUGACUCGUGAGACCUAAGCAGCCUAGUGCUCUGAUACCAACUUGUAACGAUCCGGAUUCCCAACAUCAGGGUCGUAAUGGCAACUAACGUCUACUUGCUAGGAAAGCCAACAUUAGAUAACUAGUUUAACAUCUUAACCGUUUAAAGUAGAGUAAUAAUAGUUAUUAACGAUAAAUAAGCGAUAAUACAUGAAAUAAACCCAUAACAUAACACGAUCUAUUCUAAUCCCAGAAAUCUGGAGUCACCAGUACAUGAGCAACUAGAAUACUACAAGUAUGGUUUGAACGAAAUACAACUAUUCAAAACGAAAUAAACAUUAUAGAUAGAAAUAGAUGGGGACUUCAGGAACUGCGAACUCUAGCAGCUCUACCUCAAGUGUCUAAUGUAGAUAUGAUUCGAGUAGAAGCACCACUAGACACCACUGAGACCAACACCAGUAUCUGCACAAGAAGUGCAAAAGUGUAGCAUGAGUACAACCGACCCAAUGUACUUCGUAAGUGCCGAGUCUAACCCCGAUGAUGUAGUGACGAGGCUAUGUUAAGACACCUAUGUAAAUCAUGUACAGGUAUAUAGAUAAAGAUACAAAAUAACAGGACAAUUAAAAUAUUAAAUAGGAAGGAACAUGUAGAAAGGGGAGUAUGAUAAGAACGAAGGUAGGAAGCAAAUAAGGCACGACAACACCCUUCGAGCUUUUCACUCUUCCUCACCAAGCAACACUAAUCCAAAACAGCAAAACAAGGUAGGAAGCAAUUUCACUUCAAUCAUAGUGUAAUGAUAAUUAAACUCAACUUUCAAAAAUCCCAACAACUUCUUCAAAAUAAACAAUAGAUAUGAAACCGAACAAUUGAAAAAGUAAUAAUCUAACUACGACAUGGAAAGCAUAGUCAUUGAAACAACAUAGUACAAUAAAACAAUUUUCACCCACAUGCUUUAUCCCAAUAACGACGCAUAUAUUAGACCUUACAUAUACGUCGUCCAUACAUAUAAUUCACGUAGCAAAUAGACCAAGAAGUCCUAAUUUCCAUAAGUCAAGGUUAACCACAAUAUUUACCUCACUCCGCAACAAAGUUAAUCAACCAACCAUGGCCUUGCCUACUGAACAAGCCUCCAAACCAACCAAAUCUAACCAAUUGUCGAUCAAACAAUUCAAAAUAAGCUUUAGACACUAUUCACGAAGGGAAAAGGUUCAAUCUUUGAAGAAUUUUAAAAAGGCAACCCUAGGCCUGCUUGGUUAAAACCCGAGAUUCAGACCAAAAACCGGUUACCCAUUAACCCCCGAGCCUAGUUAAGUGAUUUGUUUUGAAAUCCAACCUCAAUUUCAGAUCUAAAUCUCAAUAUUUACAAAAUUUCCAAUUUCUACCCAAAUUCCUAAUUUCUACCAUGAAAAUCCUAGAUUUGAUAUUGAAAACACAUGAAAAGUAUUGGGUAAUUGAAAGAAAAUAGAUUAAAGUUGCAUACCAAUGAAUUUGGGAAGAAGAAACUCUUGAAAAAACACUUCUAGAGAGUUUAGGGUUGAGAAAUGGUAUAAAAUGGGCUAAGUCCCGAUUUCCCCCUCUUUUACCCAGAUGCGGAUGUCGCAAUUGCAAUUUCUUGUUCUCAAUUGCGACCAUCGCAAUUGCAAGAAAGAGGUCGCAAAUACGAACUGUGCCCCCAGCAUACUUUAGUCGCAAUUGCAACAAAACCAUCACAAAUGCUAUGUCGCAUCAAACCAAAAAAAGCGAACAAAGGUUCGCAUUUGCGAACCUGCCAAAGCCUAGUGCUCAGUCGCAAAUGCGACCAAGCCAUCGCAAAAGAUAAGUCUGGGAAUUCCGCAAUUGCGAACAUUUCUUCAUAAAUAUGAAAACUACCCUGCCCAGUCCCCUAUCGCAAUUGCGAGCUCAACUUCACAUAAGCGGAGUUUGCAUUUGGGAAGAGUUCAUCGCAAAUGUGAGACCUACAGCCCAAUACUAAAACUGAAGCACACCAGUAAGUGCCAACGGUCAAGUAAAGUCAACUAACAAGGUGAUAAUUUAAAACCUCAAAAACAAAUUAGAGGAUGCUAAAGGCAGUUGGCCAGAAGAGCUGCUGGGAGUAUUAUGGGCAUAUCGAACAACAAAAUCGAGCACAGUAGCAACGCCUUUUUCCCUUGUUUAUGGUACGGAAGCUUUGAUUCCGGUGGAGAUAGGUAAACUGAACAUGAGGUAUUCCAUGGCAAACAAGCAGGGGAAUGAUGAAGCAAUGUUGAUUAUGUUGGACUUGCUUGAGGAGCAUUGGAACUUGUCUUAUGUAUGAAUGGCAGCACAGAAGCAGAGGAUGAGAAGAUACUACAAUCGUAGAGUAAAUCUUUACUAUUUUAAAAUUGGAGAUUUGGUUUUAUGAAAGAUAACUCAUAAUACCCGGGAAGUCAAUGAUGGGAAGUUGGAACCGACCUGGGAAGGACAUUACCAGAUUUAGGUUAGCCUGUAAAUUCAAAGGUUAGAGUUGCAAAAGAUGAUUGUUAGCAAGUGUAAAGGUAAAAGAGAAGAAUGAGAUGAUACCUGAGCAACAAGAUGUAUGUUGUUGUUGAUUAAAUAUUCCGCGGAGAGACCGUACAUUUUUCUCCAGUCCUUAUCCGAAGCCAUAGGAUUCAAGAAGUUGGCUACUCUCACUGACGUGGAAAGCAAAUGGCAUUUAUUCAAAACAAAAAAGGUAACACUGCAUUUACCGUUAAGGUUCCAGAUGAAUGUCAGGAAGGCAUUUUCUAUGUUCCCUAGAUCAGGUGAUAAGGGGGAACACACAUCUUCCUCUUGUUCGGUUGGAACUAGUGGCGAGGCAGAGCUGGUGAUACAAGAGCUGGAGAUGGAAUAGAAGUUGAAGGAGCAUCAGAAGAGGAACCCUUCUAACCAAAGGCAAUAACUGGGGCCCGAAAGCGGGAUUCAACAUUCUCAACCAAGUCGAACUCAGUAAAGAAUCCUUCUACAUCCUCCGGUUGAGCUGAGGGAGUUCUUCUUUUUCUUCUUCUCUGAAGAGAAACCAUCAUCAUCUUCAAUAUCAUCUUUGUCAAGGACCACCGUGGCUGAUCCUUCUGGGAUCUCUUCUGUUACUGGAGGCUACUCCUUAGACCCAACCUUAUAAGUAUGCUUUCUUUUCGAUUUUUCCCUUGGGUUGGGGACUCAGAGAAGAUAUGCCUUCACCGGAAGCAAGAGAGGCAUCACGAGCCCUCUUCCAGUCAAGGUCCUCUUGAAUCCGUUGUUGGGCCACCUUCGGGUCAUGUGAAACAAUGAUGAUGGGACAAAUAGAAGAUCCAUCAGAAGGCCUACAUGUUGUUGAAAGAGGUCAAAAAUUAUCUAUUGCAUAGAGUUAAAAGUUAAUAAAGGAAUGGGGAAUUUUCUCUUACCAUGGUUCUUCGCCUUCUAGUUGAGCCUAAUUGAAAUUUCCUUCCACUUACGGGAGUCCGGUGUGAAAGUAUCUAGAAUUUGUUUGAACCCAUAGUGUUAGGUUCUCAUCUGCUGGAGGUACCCUACGGGUGGCUAAAAUGAGAGAAAAUGAAGUUUAGCAAGAGGGGAAUUUCCUUUAACAAAGUAAAAGAUGAAUAUUAAGAAAGUUUAGAGUGUAGUUUCAGGAUUUAGGAAUAGGAGAUGCAGACGCCGAUAAAAUAUCCCCGGGAGUGACAACAACAAACCUCUCCAUCCAACCACAUUCAUUAUCGUCAUCAACACUGGCGACGAUGGCAUCGUGAUCGUGUUUGCUGAGUUUGAUCAUGCCUCAACGGAAAAUCAUAGGGGCAUACAGGUUGAUCAUAUGAGCAAGUGUAACGGUUUCCUGAGCCCGGGAAUACAGGAAUCGAGAGGCAAGCCACCAUGUGCCAUAUUGCCGGUCCUACUUGAGCCAAACAAACAUGGUAGUUCCAGCAAAACUCCAAGAUGAUUGGGUCUAUUUCCUUGUCAAGUCCUAAAGUGAAAUGGUACGUGUAAACGUAAAUGUACCCUGGUUUGCUGAAAGUAAUCCUCUCCACUUCACUAGGGGCUGAAACCUCAAUAUUCUUCUAGUUACAAUCCUCUUCUACGACAGGUAUACUGACCGGACGAAUAGAAGAGGAAUAUUCACCAAUAACUAUAUUUUUGUCGUUGCCGGGGUCAGAAGAUUCCUUUUGAACAUCAAUAUCCAUUUUGCAAGAAAACUAAAAAGGAUGAUCAUGUUAGUAGAGGGAGAAACGACAUCGGGUUUCUUAGACUUGUUCUUCUUGGAUGGACCACGGCUGAAGCAAGUCCCUUUGUAAUCGGGGGGAAGAAAUAGCAGAAGACAUAGUGAUAGAAAGUAUGAAUUUGUAAAUUUUUACUAAAAAAAGGUGAGUUGCAGAAAAGCUGUAUGAAGACUCUAAGAAGAAAGCUUGUAAAAGUAAAAGAUGAAAGUGGUGAAAAGGGAAGAAGUUUAUAGGCGACAGAAUGCAAGGCCAUCAUUACCUAGGUAACUGGCAAACAUAAUUGUCGAAUCACGAGACAACACAUGUUCGAGUCAUUAAAAUCAAAGAGACGUGCGUCCUUUCAAAUGUUAGAAACCGUUCAAAAACUUUCCCGUAAAGAAAAAAGGUCUUAUUUAUUUCCCGAUCACAUCAAGUUGAGUCACCGAAAAGUAGGGAGAUUAUCUAUACGUAAAAUUAAUGAAUAACAGGUGGAUGUUCGUCGAGUUGACAUGUGGCAAUAAGGACAGGUAGGAUAUGAGUCAGCAAAUCGCUGACACUGGUUACAAGUAUGUGACCGAUAUUGUAUGAGUUCCGAAAAUAUCAAAACUGAAGGGAAGAAUUCGAAAGCAAGGUGCCGAUUAAAGAAGGCACCAUUAAAGGAGCAGCCUUUACAGAGAAUCCUAGCAUUUACACUCAACCGUUAUGCGGCUAUCAAGAGAGGUCUUUAUUUACCUUAAAAAGGAGCUUGAUUUGUGAAUUUUGUCUCCCCUAAUUUAGUUAUAAAUAUAGAAAUUUGUAGUCAUUUGAGGACCAAAAUACUUGUAUGAAAAAGGUUAAUAUUAUUCUCUUAUUUUGCUAAACAUUGUUCUAUUAGAAUUUAGUUCUUGAUAUUGUUCUUGUUUUCAGAGAAGUUCAAUUCAAGGCCCAGGCUUGUCUUUUAUUUAAGUAAUUUUAUUUUAUUCAAUUUUGUUCUUCAUUACUUUAUAUUCUUGUAUCAAUUUAAUUCACGUGUCUAUAAACCAUUUUACGAAUUCAACUGUACCGUUUUAUGGGUAAACAACUGGAACUUAAAAAACAAAAAAAAUCUGGAAUGACAAAAUACUACCCGAAGACAAAGACAAUGGGUGCUUAAGCACCCACGCUACUAAAUGUGAAUCCGCCCUCACUAAUACGAAGAGAAUAUGGACGUUAGAUUCCAAUCAUUUUCAACAUACAUGACGAGUAGAAUGGUACAACUGCACUAACACGGAAGUACAAUUUAUUACAGAUUUAUUUAGGUAGAUAGGUAAAAUAGCUAUAUAUAGGAGGAAGAAUUUUUUUCAUCCAUGGGUUUAACUUUUGUUUUUCCUGUAAUUAAACCAUCAACCUAGUCUUUCACCUCCUAUGGGGGGUAUGGGGGGAAGAGGGAAUUUGGGGUUUGGCAUGAACCUUACCUUAUUUAUUAAUAGCAAAAGAAAACUUAAUUAGCUCAGUUGGGGCGGAGGAUAUUAAGGAGAGAUUCACCCAAGGAUGGGCAGCAUCUGUUGAUGCAGCAAUCUGCAUAGAGAGGCCUAACAUUGCAGUAAGAGCAGCUGUUGGAGCAAAACUCAGAGCAAGACUCUGCAUUUCCAGUGUAGAAACAGACUACCAUGAGUACUAUUAUCAUCCAAAUUAUAACUAAAACAUUGUUAUUUUUCUUCACCAUGGCUCUCUCUCUCCCUCUAUAUUUCAC
Molecule: long non-coding RNA, 9095 nt
Filed under: Nicotiana tabacum (common tobacco)
Lineage: Eukaryota; Viridiplantae; Streptophyta; Magnoliopsida; Solanales; Solanaceae
Description: long non-coding RNA (NTAB_LNC002905)
Source: RNAcentral